This 1392-nucleotide long non-coding RNA is filed under the name Cricetulus griseus (Chinese hamster). Its description in RNAcentral is "lncRNA (ENSCGRG00015037991.1)". Lineage: Eukaryota; Metazoa; Chordata; Mammalia; Rodentia; Cricetidae. The record is from RNAcentral.
CCCUACUUUUGACACUUCUUUCCAGAUUGUGAAUGUGUUUGGUGGGGAUGCUGGGAACAACUCUGGUUAACUGAGGAAGAGAAAAUGGGCAGGCGCUUUGGGAGCAGACUGCAGACUGAGGCGGUCCCUUGGAAAGCUAGAUCCUGGCGUUCUGAGAGCACGUGUUCCACCGAAGUCACAUUCCUUUUGCAAAGGUUUGGUCCCCUGCCGUUCUGCCCUGUCCCAUAGAAGCCUCUUUCCACUCACAACGGGCGUCCGGGCCUUCAGACCUCAAAGUUAGCCAGGCUGUACCAACAGGGAAUCCCAGUGUGUUUCUUUCCAGCAAAGUUCCCAACUGUAGUUUUAAGCCCCUUCAAAACACCGCCCGCGGAGACCGUGAGACUUGUCAACACGUUUAACACCGAUAAGGUGCUCAUCAGAGGGAGAAGAUGGGCGUGAGCCAUGCUGGAUUAGGACUGGGAAGCCUGAAAGAUUCGGGUGGACGGACUGCCAUCUAGUUGCAAGGGCUAAGGUGCUGGCCGGUGCGGGGGUCCGCUGUCUGCACUGGAAACUGUAAUAAAGACUAGAAAGGGAACAGAAGAGCAAAGAAGGAACUGGAAAUAGGGUAUAGAGAACAGAAGAGACAAGAGAUAAAAGAAGAGGAAAGAAGUAGGGCGCGGGAAGGAGAAACUGACAGCGCCAUAGUGCUCCGCGCAUUUGGAGCCCCGCCAGAUAGCGCUAGAGGGCUAUUUAUUGAAAGUCGUUCUUCCCGCGACACAGGGAAACAGCUAAAAUUGGAAGAAAUUAGACAGGGAAAAAGCAAAAUGCAGCAAUUCUACUCCAUCCUAUUUUUUAAAACUAUAGAUUUCUUUAAUGAUACUAUUUCCAGGGAGAAAAGUCCAUAAUAAAACACCAAGGCGUAAAAAGCAAAAUAAAUAAAUAAACACAAAACAAAAGCAAAAAACCAAUAAGGUGGUGGUAGGCACAGGGGACAAGGGUCCCUUCUCUCUGUGGACUCUGUCUAGGAAGAACACGAACCAAGGUAACAGGUAAGAAAAUGAGCAGCAUCCUUUCUAGUCUAACUUUUCGGUUAUACUGCUGGGAAGGUCAAAAACAGUUCACAAGGAUGAGCGCAGGUUUUAAGGAGAAAAGAUGUUUUAAAGGCAGUAAGUGGCUCCAAGGGGUGGAAUGGGGGGCCUAGAGAAAGGAGAAGGACUUCAAAAACUCACCCUCCUUUAGAAUCCAAAGGAAAGUAGUGUGGAUGGAAAUAGAAAACCUGGGAACAGACAUGGAGUAUGGAAAGAGAAAGAGAUAAUGGAUGGUGUGUUUUGAGGAUUUUUUUUUUUUUUUUGCUAGCUAGGUUCAGUAAUCCAAGGAAAUAAAUAUCUUUCAUAAUGACACUUUACUUUUAAA